UGCAAGUCGUACGAACUCUGCGUAUUGAUUGGUGCUUGCAUCAUGAUUUACAUUUGAGUGAGUGGCGAACUGGUGAGUAACACGUGGGAAACCUGCCCAGAAGCGGGGGAUAACACCUGGAAACAGAUGCUAAUACCGCAUAACAACUUGGACCGCAUGGUCCGAGUUUGAAAGAUGGCUUCGGCUAUCACUUUUGGAUGGUCCCGCGGCGUAUUAGCUAGAUGGUGGGGUAACGGCUCACCAUGGCAAUGAUACGUAGCCGACCUGAGAGGGUAAUCGGCCACAUUGGGACUGAGACACGGCCCAAACUCCUACGGGAGGCAGCAGUAGGGAAUCUUCCACAAUGGACGAAAGUCUGAUGGAGCAACGCCGCGUGAGUGAAGAAGGGUUUCGGCUCGUAAAACUCUGUUGUUAAAGAAGAACAUAUCUGAGAGUAACUGUUCAGGUAUUGACGGUAUUUAACCAGAAAGCCACGGCUAACUACGUGCCAGCAGCCGCGGUAAUACGUAGGUGGCAAGCGUUGUCCGGAUUUAUUGGGCGUAAAGCGAGCGCAGGCGGUUUUUUAAGUCUGAUGUGAAAGCCUUCGGCUCAACCGAAGAAGUGCAUCGGAAACUGGGAAACUUGAGUGCAGAAGAGGACAGUGGAACUCCAUGUGUAGCGGUGAAAUGCGUAGAUAUAUGGAAGAACACCAGUGGCGAAGGCGGCUGUCUGGUCUGUAACUGACGCUGAGGCUCGAAAGUAUGGGUAGCAAACAGGAUUAGAUACCCUGGUAGUCCAUACCGUAAACGAUGAAUGCUAAGUGUUGGAGGGUUUCCGCCCUUCAGUGCUGCAGCUAACGCAUUAAGCAUUCCGCCUGGGGAGUACGGCCGCAAGGCUGAAACUCAAAGGAAUUGACGGGGGCCCGCACAAGCGGUGGAGCAUGUGGUUUAAUUCGAAGCUACGCGAAGAACCUUACCAGGUCUUGACAUACUAUGCAAAUCUAAGAGAUUAGACGUUCCCUUCGGGGACAUGGAUACAGGUGGUGCAUGGUUGUCGUCAGCUCGUGUCGUGAGAUGUUGGGGGUUAAG
This 1067-nucleotide ribosomal RNA is filed under the name Lactiplantibacillus plantarum. Its description in RNAcentral is "bacterial SSU rRNA". It matches the Rfam family "Bacterial small subunit ribosomal RNA", at positions 56 to 1084 of the family's 1533-position model. The record is from RNAcentral. Lineage: Bacteria; Bacillati; Bacillota; Bacilli; Lactobacillales; Lactobacillaceae.